UUUUACAGGGAAAGUUGCAGAAGAUUUGCUUUGACCUCAAAGUACAUUCUUUGUUUCCCUGGUGAUAAAGACCUCAGUCAUAGGACAACUGGGUAAACUGAAGUAGCCAAUUCUGCAAAGGAAGGUGGACUUUGCUUUCCAGUUCAGGAUCUUUUAUUACUGGUACUAUUAAGGCAAUCUUGGCAAAGUCUCAUUCAUAUUUAUUUAUGAACUGUGUUCUUGGCUAGAUAAGAGGGUACACUGUCACAAGGCAAGGCAGCAGCACUCCUUUUAUGACAUCAGAGAGGUCUUUGCCAAUGGCUCUGUUGCAUGCUUACGUAAUGUAAAAUAGUAGGCACAUAGUUGAAUGAAGGCUCAGGCGGAGAGGAUCACUUUUCAAAGAUUGUAAAAGAAGUUACGUGGAUAGUGUGUGUUAUGCAGCAAGGAAAGGAAUGGAAAAUCAGAAGACGUGUUUAGAUCACACAAACCAGAGGUGAAAGCUGAAUCUGAGAGGCUUCUGUUUCCAGCAAUAAGGCCAAUAAUACCCCAAGCUCCUGACUGAAACCAAACACUCUGGAGGGACACUCUCACAUGCAGGCCAGAAGGAAUUUGAAUAGAAGGAAACAGGCUAAAGAAGAGAGCUCAUGGCAAAAAUUACAAACCAUACAAGGAAGGCAUUCACCACAGUGAGAUAGAGACGAGGUUUCACCGUAUUAGCCAGGAUGGUC
This 707-nucleotide long non-coding RNA is filed under the name Homo sapiens (human). Its description in RNAcentral is "HSALNT0342122". The record is from RNAcentral. Lineage: Eukaryota; Metazoa; Chordata; Mammalia; Primates; Hominidae.